CCUACGGGCGGCAGCAGUGGGGAAUAUUGCACAAUGGGCGCAAGCCUGAUGCAGCCAUGCCGCGUGUGUGAAGAAGGCCUUCGGGUUGUAAAGCACUUUCAGCGGGGAGGAAGGCGGUGAGGUUAAUAACCUCAUCGAUUGACGUUACCCGCAGAAGAAGCACCGGCUAACUCCGUGCCAGCAGCCGCGGUAAUACGGAGGGUGCAAGCGUUAAUCGGAAUUACUGGGCGUAAAGCGCACGCAGGCGGUCUGUCAAGUCGGAUGUGAAAUCCCCGGGCUCAACCUGGGAACUGCAUUCGAAACUGGCAGGCUAGAGUCGUGUAGAGGGGGGUAGAAUUCCAGGUGUAGCGGUGAAAUGCGUAGAGAUCUGGAGGAAUACCGGUGGCGAAGGCGGCCCCCUGGACAAAGACUGACGCUCAGGUGCGAAAGCGUGGGGAGCAAACAGGAUUAGAUACCCCUGUAGUC
Molecule: ribosomal RNA, 465 nt
Filed under: uncultured Klebsiella sp.
Lineage: Bacteria; Pseudomonadati; Pseudomonadota; Gammaproteobacteria; Enterobacterales; Enterobacteriaceae
Description: bacterial SSU rRNA
Rfam family: Bacterial small subunit ribosomal RNA
Source: RNAcentral